AUUGAACGCUGGCGGCAGGCCUAACACAUGCAAGUCGAGCGAGCGGCGGACGGGUGAGUAAUGUAUGGGAAACUGCCUGAUGGAGGGGGAUAACUACUGGAAACGGUAGCUAAUACCGCAUACCAUCAGAUGAACCCAGAUGGGAUUAGCUUGUAGGUAGGGUAACGGCUUACCUAGGAGACGAUCCCUAGCUGGUCUGAGAGGAUGAUCAGCCACACGGGGACUGAGACACGGCCCAGACUCCUAAGGGAGGCAGCAGGGGGGAAUAUUGCACAAUGGGCGCAAGCCUGAUGCAGCCAUGCCGCGUGUAUGAAGAAGGCCUUCGGGUUGUAAAGCACUUUCAGGCGGGAGGCGGUACCGACAGAAGAAGCACCGGCUAACUCCGUGCCAGCAGCCGCGGUAAUUC
RNAcentral lists this ribosomal RNA (406 nucleotides) under uncultured bacterium. RNAcentral's name for it is "partial 16S ribosomal RNA". It matches the Rfam family "Bacterial small subunit ribosomal RNA", at positions 30 to 526 of the family's 1533-position model. The record is from RNAcentral.